RNAcentral lists this ribosomal RNA (1982 nucleotides) under human gut metagenome. RNAcentral's name for it is "bacterial LSU rRNA". It matches the Rfam family "Bacterial large subunit ribosomal RNA", at positions 1 to 1978 of the family's 2925-position model. The record is from RNAcentral.
UUAAGAUAGUAAGAGCAUACGGCGGAUGCCUUGGCGAUAUCUGCCGACGAAGGACGCGACAAGCUGCGAUAAGUCACGGGGAGGUGCAAAUGACCGUUGAUCCGUGAAUUUCCGAAUGGAGCAAUCCGGCUGUGGUUAUGCACAGUCACCCAUGCCAUUGAGUAUGGGAGGGAACCGGGCGAACUGAAACAUCUAAGUAGCCCGAGGAGAAGAAAUCAAACGAGAUACCCCAAGUAGCGGCGAGCGAACGGGGCAGAAGCCCAAACCGGAGAAGGAAACUUUUCCGGGGUUGAGGACCGUCAGACGAUAAGGAAGCCCAGCCGAAUCCCUUGGGAAGGGGAGCCGGAGAAUGUGAAAGCCAUGUAGGCGAAGGGCGGAUAAGGACAGACGGCACCAGAGUACCGCGGGACACGAGAAACCCCGUGGGAAGCCGGGGGGACCACCCUCCAAGGCAAAACACAGAUAUCGACCGAUAGCGCAUAGUACCAUGAGGGAAAGGUGAAAAGCACCCCGGGAGGGGAAUGAAAGAGAACCUGAAACCGUAUGUUUACAAGCAGUCGGAGACCGUAUAUAUACCAGGUCGACGGCGUGCCUAUUGAAGAAUGAACCGGCGAGUUAUGAGGUCCAGCAAGGUUAAGCAGGAAAUGCGGAGCCGAAGCGAAAGCGAGUCUUAAUAGGGCGAUAAGUUGGAUUGCAUAGACCCGAAACCACAGUGAUCUACCCAUGUCCAGGCUGAAACACAGGUAAAAAUGUGCGGAGGGCCGAACCUAUAUCCGUUGAAAAGGGUUAGGAUGAGGUGUGGGUAGGGGUGAAAUUCCAAUCGAACGUGGAGAUAGCUGGUUCUCCCCGAAAUAGCUUUAGGGCUAGCCUCGAGGUAGAGAUUGCAGGCGGUAGAGCACUGAUCAGGAGAGGGACCUACCCGGUUACCAAACCCAGUCAAACUGCGAAUGGCUGCAAUUAUACUCGGGAGUCAGACUACGACUUAUAAGGGCCGUGGUCAAAAGGGAAACAGCCCAGAUCAUCAGCUAAGGUCCCAAAUGCCGUGCUAAGUGGCGAAGGAUGUGGCGUUUCAUAAACAACCAGGAUGUUGGCUCAGAAGCAGCCACCAUUUAAAGAGUGCGUAAUAGCUCACUGGUCGAGAGACGCUGCGCCGAAAAUGUCCGGGGCUCAAGCACGGAACCGAAGCUAUGGCAUGACAGCAAUGUCAUGGGUAGGGGAGCGUUCUUAUAAGGAAGAAGCAUUACCGUAAGGAGAUGUGGACAUAUAAGAAGUGAGAAUGCCGGUAUGAGUAUCGAAAAGAAAGGUGAGAAUCCUUUCCACCGAAAGCCCGAGGGUUCCUGAGCAACGAUCGUCGACUCAGGGUAAGUCGGGACCUAAGCCGAGGCGGAGACGCAUAGGCGAUGGACAACAGGUUGAAAUUCCUGUACCGGAUGGAGUCAUUUGAGCAAAGGAGCGACGCAGGAGGGCACAUGAUCGCGCGGCUGGAAGAGCGCGUCCAAGUGCGUAUGCGUAGAGGGAGGCAAAUCCCCCUUUACAGAAGCAGAGACAUGAUGGGGAGUUAAAGGAGACUUUGACGAACUCAUGGAUCCCACACUGCCAAGAAAAACUUCUAGCGAGACGAAAUCCGCCCGUACCGUAAACCGACACAGGUAGGCGGGGAGAGAAUCCUAAGGUGCGCGGGAAAACCCUCGUUAAGGAACUCGGCAAAUUGCAUCCGUAACUUCGGGAGAAGGAUGACCCUGAGUAGGCGAAAGGGAGAAACCCCCGGAACAGAAAAGGGUGGCAGAAAAGAGGCCCAAGCAACUGUUUACCAAAAACACAGGUGCCUGCGAAAGCGAAAGCUGAAGUAUAGGUGCUGACGCCUGCCCGGUGCUGGAAGGUUAAGGAGAGAGGUCAGCGAAAGCGAAGCUUUGAACUGAAGCCCCAGUGAACGGCGGCCGUAACUAUAACGGUCCUAAGGUAGCGAAAUUCCUUGUCAGGUA